This 358-nucleotide ribosomal RNA is filed under the name uncultured microorganism. RNAcentral describes it as "bacterial SSU rRNA". It matches the Rfam family "Bacterial small subunit ribosomal RNA", at positions 346 to 696 of the family's 1533-position model. The record is from RNAcentral.
GCGCACCAGUCGAGAAUCUUCCACAAUGGACGAAAGUCUGAUGGAGCGACGCCGCGUGCGGGAUGAAGGCCUUAUGGGUUGUAAACCGCUGUCAGGGGGAAGAACAUCGGAAUGAACAAUACUCAUUCCGACUGACGUUACCCCAGAGGAAGCUCCGGCCAACUCCGUGCCAGCAGCCGCGGUAAUACGGGGGGAGCAAGCGUUGUCCGGAAUUAUUGGGCGUAAAGGGCGUGUAGGCGGCGAGGUAAGUCGAAUGUGAAAUCUCACGGCUCAACCGUGAAACUGCGUUCGAAACUACCCUGCUUGAGUACGGGAGAGGUGUACGGAAUUCCUGGUGUAGCGGUGGAAUGCGUAGAUA